Molecule: long non-coding RNA, 1641 nt
Filed under: Olea europaea subsp. europaea
Lineage: Eukaryota; Viridiplantae; Streptophyta; Magnoliopsida; Lamiales; Oleaceae
Source: RNAcentral
UACAAUUAGGAGCUAAACAAAGUAAUUUGUUUAAGUAAGAAAACUAUACACAUAACUAUUUCCUAAUGAAAAGAUUCGUUAUACAUAUUUACAAUAGUUGUCUAAUACAUUAUUCUCGUUGAUAAACAUGUCAAGAAGGUCCUAGCCCUCUAACCAACAUAGGAGUUGAAAUAGACCAAUCCUUAACCAUACCUCCAAACAUAUCACACAGGUGUAGAGUCAAGAGCCGACAAAGGAAAAGAUAUUCAAUUAUAUGUUGAGAUGAAAUUGGUGUUGCACUUCAAAAAGCUGAGCUUCAGGGUUACGAAAUCUUGAUAUCGACCUUGUUUAGCCCGAAGUCUUAGAACUCACCUUAAAAGACAUAUUUAAAAUGCUUGUGUGAUUAAUUAGUUUUCCUCCAUACAUUGAACUCAUAUGUUCUACAAUGUGCUGCAAUUGCAUACGAAUCCUAACCAUAUCUUAUUCCCAAGCCUCCCUACCAUAUUCAUUCGAGGAAGUUACAAGAACACGGUACUCGACCAUCAAAUCAUUAACCAUUUUAAGGAAAUUGUCAAUAAAUUCAGCAAAUGCUUAGCUAGUAGUAGAGAACUGAAAUAGACAAUUUUGAGAUUAAUGCUAUUGCACAAGAUUAAAGACGAGAAAUUAAGGGAAUUCUUUGGCAGUUCAAUGCAAAAGCAUUACACAACCCAAAUUUCUAGAACUAUUCAACAACAGGUGCACCAGUGAAAGAAGUCGUCUCCCCUUUAAAAUGUCUUUAUCUAAGGCAAUAUGCUCAAAAAGUUGCUGUUGCCCUACUAAUAAAGUGAUUUCCUUAUGAGAAGGUAAAUUACCUUAUGUCAAGAUGCUCUGCAAAGAACUAACAAGUUGCACAACAAUGUUGUAGUGAUCAAGGCAAAUGAUUAGAAAUUGCAAAAUUAUGUGAAUCAUUAUAGACAAUGGUGUGCAACACAUAUACAAACAAUGGACGCAUAGAAAUAAUUAGCCUUCCAAAGGACAUACUAAAAAUUAUCAAGUAUUCCUUGCGAGGAUUCUUGAGAGGAUAAAAAUUAUAAUUGCAUUAACCAUCACCCUCAAGACUCAACAAGUAGAUUACUACAAUAGGUAAUGUGGAAUUACAGACUUAAGAGCCCUAAUUUUUAGGUGAUCUUGGUUAAGGCCUUGUUUAGCUAAGUUUUGUUUUUGUAUACUAAUUAUUAGAAAUUGAGUUACCCAUGUGAUCAAUUAUUAGCAUCUAGGAGAAUCAAAGACAAAUUAGUUGUCUAUUCUUCUCCAAUAAAAUGAAGUACCAACCUAUUUUGUUUUAAGAUUAUCUGUCGAAAAGUUAGGAGAUUUGGAGAUUUAUUUAUUUGAAUUGUUUUGAAUAAAUCUGAAAUUGUUAUAUUCAGAUAUUUAGUUGUAUUUUUGGUUUACUGUUUUAUUAGAUUCUAUCCGUUAGGAGAGUCCUAUAGUCUAGGGUGAUUUAGAUUGUAUAGGACUCAAAUACUAUUUGUACCUAUUCAUAUGAGCAGAUUAAUGAUAUACGAGAAAUAAGUUUUUGAGACGUUUUCUUCUCAAAAACUUACAUUAUCGCCAAACAUUAAGGGUUUUUCUUCGUUCUUCUUGAUGUUAAGGAAGUUUUCCAACAUGACAAGUUGGAGGAAG